This 486-nucleotide ribosomal RNA is filed under the name uncultured bacterium. RNAcentral's name for it is "bacterial SSU rRNA". It matches the Rfam family "Bacterial small subunit ribosomal RNA", at positions 28 to 502 of the family's 1533-position model. The record is from RNAcentral.
GAUGAACGCUAGCUACAGGCUUAACACAUGCAAGUCGAGGGGCAGCAUGGUCUUAGCUUGCUAAGGCCGAUGGCGACCGGCGCACGGGUGAGUAACACGUAUCCAACCUGCCGUCUACUCUUGGACAGCCUUCUGAAAGGAAGAUUAAUACAAGAUGGCAUCAUGAGUCCGCAUGUUCACAUGAUUAAAGGUAUUCCGGUAGACGAUGGGGAUGCGUUCCAUUAGAUAGUAGGCGGGGUAACGGCCCACCUAGUCUUCGAUGGAUAGGGGGUUCUGAGAGGAAGGUCCCCCACAUUGGAACUGAGACACGGUCCAAACUCCUACGGGAGGCAGCAGUGAGGAAUAUUGGUCAAUGGACGAGAGUCUGAACCAGCCAAGUAGCGUGAAGGAUGACUGCCCUAUGGGUUGUAAACUUCUUUUAUACGGGAAUAAAGUGAGCCACGUGUGGCUUUUUGUAUGUACCGUAUGAAUAAGGAUCGGCUAACU